UGGGAAGUGGCGGCGUGCUUAUACAUGCAGUCGAACGAGGUCCAUCCGAUCUUCGGAUUGGUGAAGACCUAGUGGCGAACGGGUGCGUAACACGUGAGAAACCUGCCCCGGUCUCUGGAAUAACAGUUGGAAACGACUGCUAAUACCGGAUGCCGUCGGACCACCGCAUGGUGGACCGACGAAAGGGUUACCGGACCGGGAGGGUCUCGCGGCCUAUCAGCUUGUUGGUGAGGUAACGGCUCACCAAGGCAUCGACGGGUAGCUGGUCUGAGAGGAUGAUCAGCCACACUGGGACUGAGACACGGCCCAGACUCCUACGGGAGGCAGCAGUAGGGAAUAUUGCACAAUGGGCGAAAGCCUGAUGCAGCAACGCCGCGUGCGGGAAGAAGGCCCUAGGGUUGUAAACCGCUUUCAGCAGGGAAGAAAAUGACGGUACCUGCAGAAGAAGGUGCGGCCAACUACGUGCCAGCAGCCGCGGUGACACGUAGGCACCAAGCGUUGUCCGGAUUUAUUGGGCGUAAAGAGCUCGUAGGCGGUUCAGUUAGUCGGGUGUGAAAACUCUGGGCUCAACCCAGAGACGCCACUCGAUACUGCUGUGACUAGAGUGCGGUAGGGGAGCGGGGAAUUCCUAGUGUAGCGGUGAAAUGCGCAGAUAUUAGGAGGAACACCAGUGGCGAAGGCGCCGCUCUGGGCCGUAACUGAUGCUGAGGAGCGAAAGCGUGGGUAGCAAACAGGAUUAGAUACCCUGGUAGUCCACGCCGUAAACGUUGGGCACUAGGUGUGGGUCUCAACCAACGAGAUCCGCGCCGUCGCUAACGCAUUAAGUGCCCCGCCUGGGGAGUACGGCCGCAAGGCUAAAACUCAAAGGAAUUGACGGGGGCCCGCACAAGCAGCGGAGCGUGUUGCUUAAUUCGAUGCAACGCGAAGAACCUUACCUGGGUUUGACAUGUAGGGAAAAGCUCUAGAGAUAGGGUGUCCUUCGGGGCCUUACACAGGUGGUGCAUGCUGUCGUCAGCUCGUGUCGUGAGAUGUGGGUAGUCCCGCACGAGCGCACCCUUAUCCUAUGUUGCCAGCAUUAGUUGGGGACCUCGUA
RNAcentral lists this ribosomal RNA (1093 nucleotides) under uncultured bacterium. Its description in RNAcentral is "bacterial SSU rRNA". It matches the Rfam family "Bacterial small subunit ribosomal RNA", at positions 30 to 1143 of the family's 1533-position model. The record is from RNAcentral.